This 460-nucleotide ribosomal RNA is filed under the name uncultured bacterium. RNAcentral's name for it is "partial 16S ribosomal RNA". It matches the Rfam family "Bacterial small subunit ribosomal RNA", at positions 338 to 795 of the family's 1533-position model. The record is from RNAcentral.
CCUACGGGAGGCAGCAGUGAGGAAUAUUGGUCAAUGGGCGCGAGCCUGAACCAGCCAAGUCGCGUGAGGGAUGAAGGUUCUAUGGAUCGUAAACCUCUUUUAUAAGGGAAUAAAGUGUGGGACGUGUCCUAUUUUGUAUGUACCUUAUGAAUAAGGAUCGGCUAACUCCGUGCCAGCAGCCGCGGUAAUACGGAGGAUCCGGGCGUUAUCCGGAUUUAUUGGGUUUAAAGGGUGCGUAGGUGGUAUCGGAAGUUGGUGGUAUAAUUCCGGGGCCCAACCUCUGCGCUACCGACAAAACUAAUUGACUAGAGUGGGGGAGAGGUAGGUGGAAUGCCUAGUGGAGCGGUGGAAUGCGUAGAUAUUAGGAGGAACAUCAGGGGCGAAGGCGACGUACUGGACUGUAACUGACACUGAGGCACGAAAGCGUGGGGAGCAAACAGGAUUAGAUACCCCAGUAGUC